GAUGAACGCUGGCGGCGUGCCUAAUACAUGCAAGUCGAGCGAACAGAUGAGGAGCUUGCUCCUCUGACGUUAGCGGCGGACGGGUGAGUAACACGUGGAUAACCUACCUAUAAGACUGGGAUAACUUCGGGAAACCGGAGCUAAUACCGGAUAAUAUAUUGAACCGCAUGGUUCAAUAGUGAAAGACGGUUUUGCUGCCACUUAUAGAUGGAUCCGCGCCGCAUUAGCUAGUUGGUAAGGUAACGGCUUACCAAGGCAACGAUGCGUAGCCGACCUGAGAGGGUGGUCGGCCACACUGGAACUGAGACACGGUCCAGACUCCUACGGGAGGCAGCAGUAGGGAAUCUUCCGCAAUGGGCGAAAGCCUGACGGAGCAACGCCGCGUGAGUGAUGAAGGUCUUCGGAUCGUAAAACUCUGUUAUUAGGGAAGAACAAAUGUGUAAGUAACUAUGCACGUCUUGACGGUACCUAAUCAGAAAGCCACGGCUAACUACGUG
This 497-nucleotide ribosomal RNA is filed under the name uncultured bacterium. RNAcentral describes it as "partial 16S ribosomal RNA". It matches the Rfam family "Bacterial small subunit ribosomal RNA", at positions 28 to 507 of the family's 1533-position model. The record is from RNAcentral.